CGCAGUGUAGCUUAAUCAAAGCAUCCCGCUUACACCGAGAAAAUGUUCAUAAAAUUGACCCACUUCGA
RNAcentral lists this transfer RNA (68 nucleotides) under Leptophryne borbonica (Java tree toad). Its description in RNAcentral is "tRNA-Val". It matches the Rfam family "tRNA". Rfam says of the family: Transfer RNA (tRNA) molecules are approximately 80 nucleotides in length. The record is from RNAcentral. Lineage: Eukaryota; Metazoa; Chordata; Amphibia; Anura; Bufonidae.